CAGUCGAGCGGAACGAGUUAUCUGAACCUUCGGGGGACGAUAACGGCGUCGAGCGGCGGACGGGUGAGUAAUGCCUAGGAAAUUGCCCUGAUGUGGGGGAUAACCAUUGGAAACGAUGGCUAAUACCGCAUGAUGCCUACGGGCCAAAGAGGGGGACCUUCGGGCCUCUCGCGUCAGGAUAUGCCUAGGUGGGAUUAGCUAGUUGGUGAGGUAAGGGCUCACCAAGGCGACGAUCCCUAGCUGGUCUGAGAGGAUGAUCAGCCACACUGGAACUGAGACACGGUCCAGACUCCUACGGGAGGCAGCAGUGGGGAAUAUUGCACAAUGGGCGCAAGCCUGAUGCAGCCAUGCCGCGUGUAUGAAGAAGGCCUUCGGGUUGUAAAGUACUUUCAGUCGUGAGGAAGGCGGCGUCGUUAAUAGCGGCGUUGUUUGACGUUAGCGACAGAAGAAGCACCGGCUAACUCCGUGCCAGCCGC
Molecule: ribosomal RNA, 476 nt
Filed under: bacterium BCM28
Lineage: Bacteria
Description: bacterial SSU rRNA
Rfam family: Bacterial small subunit ribosomal RNA
Source: RNAcentral